ACUCAGUGAAAUUGAUGUGGCGGUGAAAAUGCCGUCUACCCGCGGAAAGACGGAAAGACCCUGUGCACCUUUACUAUAGCUUGACAUUGGAGCUUGGACAAUCGUGUGUAGGAUAGGUGGGAGACUGUGAAACCGGCGCGCCAGCGUCGGCGGAGUCAACCUUGAAAUACCACCCUCGGUUGUUUAAGCUUCUAACUCGGACCGUUAUCCGGUUCGAGGACAUUGUCUGGUGGGUAGUUUGACUGGGGCGGUCGC
This 255-nucleotide ribosomal RNA is filed under the name Solidesulfovibrio aerotolerans. Its description in RNAcentral is "Desulfovibrio aerotolerans partial 23S ribosomal RNA". It matches the Rfam family "Bacterial large subunit ribosomal RNA", at positions 2031 to 2286 of the family's 2925-position model. Lineage: Bacteria; Pseudomonadati; Thermodesulfobacteriota; Desulfovibrionia; Desulfovibrionales; Desulfovibrionaceae. The record is from RNAcentral.